This 892-nucleotide long non-coding RNA is filed under the name Callithrix jacchus (white-tufted-ear marmoset). Its description in RNAcentral is "lncRNA (ENSCJAG00000065750.2)". The record is from RNAcentral. Lineage: Eukaryota; Metazoa; Chordata; Mammalia; Primates; Cebidae.
UAAAGAGACUGAAACAAAUUUAGCAAGCACCUGGAAUUGGUUAGUAAUGGGCUGUGUCAUUUUUCCUGCAUAGCUCUGCCAUCACAAUGCAAAGCUGCUUAUUUGCAGUGUUCAUUUUCACUUAAGGGCAGUCCAGAGUGGCACAUCAAAGAAGAUCUGAUGCCAGAACUCCACCAUCAGAAACAGCAAAGCCCUUCCCUGUCCUGGACAGGAUCCCCAGGUGCCUACUCUCUUCAGUGCUCACCUGACUCUUCCUUCUCAUGAAGAUCAAGAAAGAAAUAACUCCAAGUACCAACAAUUCUCCUUAAUUUUUUCUUUCUUUACAUGGAAUGAGUAAAAAUUACCCAUUUGAACAUCAAUUACAAGUUUCUUCAGUGAUUCCCAGGGAAGCUACAUUCCUUUUUCUCUAUACUACUGCAGAAUGUUUCAAGGCAGCAUAAAGACUAAUCAAGUGAAGACCUUUAGCAAAAAAUAUUUUUACUGCUGAGAGUUUAUAAAGGAAUUUUUAAGCUGCUAAAAAGUGUACACAUAAAAUGAACUUUGACAGACCAGUUAGAUUUGCUUGACUAAAUGAAAAGUAGUAUUCUAUGCCAUAGAGGAAAAAAGGCACUUCUUUUUCCCACUCAUCAUUUUACACAGGAGAAAACUAAUCUAUAGAUAGCCCAAAUGUGGAGUGGUGGAUAUGAGAGUUCCAUGGAUACAUGCCAAUAGCAUAUGUAUAGCCCUUUGCUGAUAUUAUAGGAGACAGUAUAGUACAUUAAUGGAACUUUAAUAUGAGACUGAGAAAUAUUUUAUAUUACUAUUUUCCCAUCUUUUCAUUAUGGCAUUGUGUAAGUCACUGAAGACCUCUGAGUCUCAUCAAUAAAAUUAAAGUAUCAAUAUCUAUUUCUCA